GUGGGGAAUAUUGGGCAAUGGGCGAAAGCCUGACCCAGCAACGCCGCGUGAGGGAAGAAGGCCUUCGGGUUGUAAACCUCUGUCCUUGGUGACGAAAAAAAUGACGGUAGCCAAGGAGGAAGCCCCGGCUAACUACGUGCCAGCAGCCGCGGUAAUACGUAGGGGGCGAGCGUUGUCCGGAAUUACUGGGCGUAAAGGGUGCGUAGGUGGCCUUUUAAGUUGGAUGUGAAAUACCCGGGCUUAACUUGGGGGGUGCAUCUAAUACUGGAGGGCUAGAGUGCAGGAGAGGGAAGCGGAAUUCCUAGUGUAGCGGUGAAAUGCGUAGAUAUUAGGAGGAACACCAGUGGCGAAGGCGGCUUUCUGGACUGUAACUGACACUGAGGCACGAAAGCGUGGGGAGCAAACAGGAUUAGAAACCCCUGUAGUCU
RNAcentral lists this ribosomal RNA (428 nucleotides) under uncultured bacterium. RNAcentral's name for it is "partial 16S ribosomal RNA". It matches the Rfam family "Bacterial small subunit ribosomal RNA", at positions 354 to 796 of the family's 1533-position model. The record is from RNAcentral.